Molecule: ribosomal RNA, 372 nt
Filed under: uncultured organism
Description: partial 16S ribosomal RNA
Rfam family: Bacterial small subunit ribosomal RNA
Source: RNAcentral
AGAGGGUGCGAGCGUUAAUCGGAAUUACUGGGCGUAAAGGGCGCGUAGGUGGAUAGAACAGUCAGCUGUGAAAUACCCGGGCUUAACCUGGGAGGGUCAGCUGAUACUAGCUAUCUAGAGUGCAGUAGAGGGUAGUGGAAUUUCCGGUGUAGCGGUGAAAUGCGUAGAUAUCGGAAGGAACAUCGGUGGCGAAGGCGGCUACCUGGACUGAAACUGACACUGAGGCGCGAAAGCGUGGGGAGCGAACAGGAUUAGAUACCCUGGUAGUCCACGCUGUAAACGAUGAGAACUAGCCCGUUGCCUUUUCUAAGGAGAAGGGAGUGGCGCAGCAAACGCGAUAAGUUCUCCGCCUGGGAGUACGGCCGCAGGCUA